UUUUUUUUUAUGUUUUUGUGUUUUGAAAGAUGCAUAUGAUGCAUGGAUUUUUUUUUGUGUUAAAGUAAAUCUCUUUUUAGUUAUUCAUGUUUAUUCAUUGCAAAAACUACUUGACGAUUCGCGUUCACAAUCAUGAAUAAAGGAAAACAUAAUAGAGAAAAAUCACAACUUUCAUUCAUCCUUUGAAGGGAAAAUAGACAACAAC
Molecule: long non-coding RNA, 205 nt
Filed under: Lathyrus oleraceus (garden pea)
Lineage: Eukaryota; Viridiplantae; Streptophyta; Magnoliopsida; Fabales; Fabaceae
Description: Pisum sativum (pea) long non-coding RNA (PSAT_LNC019538)
Source: RNAcentral